This 996-nucleotide ribosomal RNA is filed under the name uncultured bacterium. RNAcentral describes it as "bacterial SSU rRNA". It matches the Rfam family "Bacterial small subunit ribosomal RNA", at positions 9 to 1015 of the family's 1533-position model. The record is from RNAcentral.
GAGUUUGAUCCUGGCUCAGAGUGAACGCUGGCGGCGUGCUUAACACAUGCAAGUCGAACGGUAACAGAGAAGAGCUUGCUCUUCUGCUGACGAGUGGCGCACGGGUAAGUAAUAUAUAGUUAAUGUGCCUCGAAGACUGGGAUAGCCACUGGAAACGGUGAUUAAUACUGGAUACUCCUUCUAAUCAUAAGAUUAGUCGGGAAACGUUUUUUCGCUUCGAGAUCAGACUAUAUCCCAUCAGUUAGUUGGUAGUGUAAGAGACUACCAAGGCAAUGACGGGUAGCGGGUUUGAGAGGAUGAUCCGCCACACUGGUACUGAGACACGGACCAGACUCCUACGGGAGGCAGCAGUGAGGAAUAUUGCACAAUGGGGGAAACCCUGAUGCAGCAACGCCGCGUGGAGGAUGACGCAUUUCGGUGUGUAAACUCCUUUUAUAUGUCAAGAAAAUGACGGUAGCAUAUGAAUAAGCACCGGCUAACUCCGUGCCAGCAGCCGCGGUAAUACGGAGGGUGCAAGCGUUACUCGGAAUCACUGGGCGUAAAGGACGCGUAGGCGGGUUGGAAAGUCAGGUGUGAAAUCCUACAGCUUAACUGUAGAACUGCACUUGAAACUUCCAACCUAGAGUAUGGGAGGGGGAGAUGGAAUUAGUGGUGUAGGGGUAAAAUCCGUAGAUAUCACUAGGAAUACCGAAAGCGAAGGCGAUCUCCUGGAACAUUACUGACGCUAAGGCGUGAAGGCGUGGGGAGCAAACGGGAUUAGAUACCCCGGUAGUCCACGCCCUAAACGAUGAACACUAGUCGUCGGGAUGCUUGUCAUCUCGGUGAUGCACUUAACAGAUUAAGUGUUCCGCCUGGGGAGUACGGUCGCAAGAUUAAAACUCAAAGGAAUAGACGGGGGACCCGCACAAGUGGUGGAGCAUGUGGUUUAAUUUCGAAGAUACGCGAAGAACCUUACCUAGCCUUGACAUUGAUAGAACACCCUAGAGAUAGAGUGGU